RNAcentral lists this ribosomal RNA (493 nucleotides) under uncultured bacterium. RNAcentral describes it as "partial 16S ribosomal RNA". It matches the Rfam family "Bacterial small subunit ribosomal RNA", at positions 29 to 523 of the family's 1533-position model. The record is from RNAcentral.
AUUGAACGCUGGCGGCAUGCUUUACACAUGCAAGUCGAACGGUAACAGGUUAAGCUGACGAGUGGCGAACGGGUGAGUAAUGCAUCGGAACGUGCCAGAUCGUGGGGGAUAACGCAGCGAAAGCUGCGCCAAUACCGCAUACGAUCUGAGGGUGAAAGCGGGGGACCGUAAGGCCUCGCGCGAUCGGAGCGGCCGAUGUCAGAUUAGGCAGUUGGGGGGGUAAAGGCCCACCAAGCCGACGAUCUGUAGCUGGUCUGAGAGGACGACCAGCCACACUGGGACUGAGACACGGCCCAGACUCCUACGGGAGGCAGCAGUGUAGAACUUUGGACAAUGGGCGAAAGCCUGAUCCAGCAAUGCCGCGUGCAGGAAGAAGGCCUUCUGGUUGUAAACUGCUUUUGUUCGGAGCGAAAAGGCUCUCUCUAAUACAGGGGGCUCAUGACGGUACCGUAAGAAUAAGCACCGGCUAACUACGUGCCAGCAGCCGCAGUAA